GAUGAACGCUGGCGGCGUGCCUAAUACAUGCAAGUCGAGCGAACGGACGAGAAGCUUGCGUCUCUGAUGUUAGCGGCGGACGGGUGAGUAACACGUGGAUAACCUACCUAUAAUACGGGGAUAACUUCGGGAAACCGGAGCUAAUACCAUAUGAUAUUUUGAACCACAGGGUGCAAUAGUGAAAGACGGUCUUUCUGUCACGUAUAGAUGGAUCCGCGCUGCAUUAGCUAGUUGGUAAGUUAACGGCUUAUCAAGGCAACGAUGCGUAGCCGACGGGAGUGGGUGGUCGGCCACAUUGGAAGUUGGCCACGGUCCUGAGUACUACGGGAGGCCGCAGUAGGGAACGUGCGGCAAUGGGCGGAAGCCUGACGGAGCGGCGCGGCGUGAGUGACGAAGGCCUUGGGAGCGUAAAGCUCUCUUAUUAGGGAAGAACAGAUGUGUAAGGAAACGUGCCCAGCUUGACGGUAACUAAUAAGAAAGCAACGGCUAACUACGUG
RNAcentral lists this ribosomal RNA (497 nucleotides) under uncultured bacterium. RNAcentral describes it as "partial 16S ribosomal RNA". It matches the Rfam family "Bacterial small subunit ribosomal RNA", at positions 28 to 507 of the family's 1533-position model. The record is from RNAcentral.